AAUCCCGAAGAGAUUUGGGAGUGCUCGAAAGAGAACCUGCACACAGGUGCUGCAUGGCUGUCGUCAGCUCGUGUCGUGAGAUGUUGGGUUAAGUCCCGCAACGAGCGCAACCCUUGCCAUUAGUUGCUACGAAAGGGCACUCUAAUGGGACUGCCGGUGACAAACCGGAGGAAGUGGGGAUGACGUCAAGUCCUCAUGGCCCUUAUAGGUGGGCUACACACGUCAUACAAUGGCCGGUACAGAGGGUAGCCAACCCGCGAGGGGGAGCCAAUCCCACAAAGCCGGUCGUAGUCCGGAUCGCAGUCUGCAACUCGACUGCGUGAAGUCGGAAUCGCUAGUAAUCGCGGAUCAGCAUGUCGCGGUGAAUACGUUCCCGGGCCUU
This 382-nucleotide ribosomal RNA is filed under the name uncultured Allobrachymonas sp. RNAcentral's name for it is "bacterial SSU rRNA". It matches the Rfam family "Bacterial small subunit ribosomal RNA", at positions 994 to 1382 of the family's 1533-position model. Lineage: Bacteria; Pseudomonadati; Pseudomonadota; Betaproteobacteria; Burkholderiales; Comamonadaceae. The record is from RNAcentral.